UCACAUUUAUAGGUAAGAACUAU
RNAcentral lists this small nuclear RNA (23 nucleotides) under Arabidopsis thaliana (thale cress). RNAcentral's name for it is "snRNA_08378". Lineage: Eukaryota; Viridiplantae; Streptophyta; Magnoliopsida; Brassicales; Brassicaceae. The record is from RNAcentral.